GACGAACGCUGGCGGCAUGCUUUACACAUGCAAGUCGAACGGUAACAGGCCGCAAGGUGCUGACGAGUGGCGAACGGGUGAGUAAUGCAUCGGAACGUGCCCAGUCGUGGGGGAUAACGCAGCGAAAGCUGCGCUAAUACCGCAUACGAUCUAUGGAUGAAAGCGGGGGACCAUAAGGCCUCGCGCGAUUGGCACGGCCGGUGUCAGAUUAGGUGGUUGGUGGGGUAAAGGCUCACCAAGCCAACGAUCUGUAGCUGGUCUGAGAGGACGACCAGCCACACUGGGACUGAGACACGGCCCAGACUCCUACGGGAGGCAGCAGUGGGGAAUUUUGGACAAUGGGCGCAAGCCUGAUCCAGCAAUGCCGCGUGCAGGAAGAAGGCCUUCGGGUUGUAAACUGCUUUUGUACGGAACGAAACGGCUCUGGUUAAUACCUGGGGCUAAUGACGGUACCGUAAGAAUAAGCACCGGCUAACUACGUGCCAGCAGCCGCCGUAA
This 498-nucleotide ribosomal RNA is filed under the name uncultured bacterium. RNAcentral's name for it is "partial 16S ribosomal RNA". It matches the Rfam family "Bacterial small subunit ribosomal RNA", at positions 28 to 523 of the family's 1533-position model. The record is from RNAcentral.